This 853-nucleotide ribosomal RNA is filed under the name uncultured bacterium. RNAcentral's name for it is "bacterial SSU rRNA". It matches the Rfam family "Bacterial small subunit ribosomal RNA", at positions 1 to 892 of the family's 1533-position model. The record is from RNAcentral.
AGGAUUUUUAUUUUAUUUUGCCCCGAUGGGUGCUAACUGCAGUCGAGCGCGAAAGUACUUCGGUGGCGAGUAGAGCGGCGAAAGGGCGAGUCAUUUAUUUCUACGUACCCCCAGGUCAGGGAUAGCCCAGGAAGCCUUUGUUUAAUACCUGAUGUGGUGCCCAUGUAAAAGUGGUCAUCAAAGACUUCGGUCGCCAGGGGAGCGGGGAACGUCCUAUCAGGUUGUUGGUGAGGUAACGGCUCACCAAGCCGGAGACGGGUAGCGGGUGUGAGAGCAUGACCCGCCGCAUCGGGACUGAGACACUGCCCGGACUCCUACGGGAGGCUGCAGUAACGAAUCUUCCGCAAUGCGCGAAAGCGUGACGGAGCAAUGCCGCGUGCGGGAUGAAGCUCUUCGGAGUGUAAACCGCUGUCAGAGUUCAGCAACACAAUGAGCAGACUCAAAGGAAGGGCCGGCUAACUUCGUGCCAGCAGCCGCGGUAAUACGAAGGGCCCGAGCGUUGCGCGGAAUCAUUGGGCUUAAAGCGUACGUAGGCGGGCGCGCAGGCGUCUUGUGAAAUCCCUCGGCUCAACCGAGGAAUUGCUCGACGAACCGCGUGCCUUGAAGCAAGUAGGGGCUGUCGGAACGAUAGGUGGAGUGGUGAAAUGCGUUGAUAUCUAUCGGAACGCCGAAGGAGAAAUCAGGCAGCUGGGCUUGUCUUGACGCUGAGGUACGAAAGCGUGGGGAGCGAACGGGAUUAGAUACCCCGGUAGUCCACGCCGUAAACGGAUGUGCACUAGAUCGAGGGGGUUCUGACACUGCUCUCGGUCCAACGAAAGUGUUAAGUGCACCGCCUGGGGAGUACGGGCGCAAG